This is a small nuclear RNA of Saimiri boliviensis boliviensis (Bolivian squirrel monkey), 104 nucleotides long. The record is from RefSeq and is a predicted model, not a curated record. Lineage: Eukaryota; Metazoa; Chordata; Mammalia; Primates; Cebidae.
GCACUCGCUUCAGCAGCACAUAUACUAAAAUGGAAGACACAGAGAAAAUUAGGAUGGCCCUGCUAAAAUAUGACACAUAAAUUUGUGAAGCAUUCCAUGCUUUU